UUCAACCUACGUAUGAUGAUG
Molecule: non-coding RNA, 21 nt
Filed under: Arabidopsis thaliana (thale cress)
Lineage: Eukaryota; Viridiplantae; Streptophyta; Magnoliopsida; Brassicales; Brassicaceae
Source: RNAcentral